This 423-nucleotide ribosomal RNA is filed under the name uncultured bacterium. RNAcentral's name for it is "partial 16S ribosomal RNA". It matches the Rfam family "Bacterial small subunit ribosomal RNA", at positions 360 to 775 of the family's 1533-position model. The record is from RNAcentral.
AACUUUGGACAAUGGGGGAAACCCUGAUCCAGCCAUCCCGCGUUUGCGAUGAAGGCCUUCGGGUUGUAAAGCACUUUUGGCAGGAAAGAAACGUUCCGGGUUAAUACCCCGGGAAACUGACCGUACCUGCAGAAUACGCUCCGGCUAACUACGUGCCAGCAGCCGCGGUAAUACGUAGGGUGCAAGCGUUAAUCGGAAUUACCGGGCGUAAAGCGUGCGCAGGCGGUUCGGAAAGAAAGAUGUGAAAUCCCAGAGCUUAACUUUGGAACUGCAUUUUUAACUACCGAGCUAGAGUGUGUCAGAGGGAGGUGGAAUUCCGCGUGUAGCAGUGAAAUGCGUAGAUAUGCGGAGGAACACCGAUGGCGAAGGCAGCCUCCUGGGAUAACACUGACGCUCAUGCACGAAAGCGUGGGGAGCAAACAG